Rattus rattus (black rat) is the source of this 450-nucleotide long non-coding RNA. RefSeq lists it as uncharacterized. The transcript is spliced from 2 exons. Lineage: Eukaryota; Metazoa; Chordata; Mammalia; Rodentia; Muridae. The record is from RefSeq and is a predicted model, not a curated record.
AGGAGCUGGUGAAUGGCGUGCAAAUUAGCCAAGUCCUCGGGAGCCUCGUUACUGUCACUCCCAAACCGAAGCUCCAGAGGCAACGUGAGGAUUAAUCAAUCCAGAAAGCUCGCCCAUUAUCAAAGCAAGGUGGAAGACACACCUACAGUUCGACUGACAGUUCAACCCGGACACGCGUCAACGUAUGGCAGAACACCUCGAGGGUGGCAGCCCUGAACCCACACCAGCAAGUGACCAGUGAGCAAGCAGACAUGGUGUCUAGUGAGCAGUUACGGCAUAUACAGUCCAUGAGGAACUGAAGAAACACCGCGUUAAGGGAUUCAGAAUAAUCUCUGAAAUGAACAGACAGGCCAAUAUCCAGCAACUCUAUAAAUAUAAAUCUAAUGAGUUCGUAGCUAAAGAAUGAGUCAGCAAAUUUAUCUACUAAAUAAAGAUGAGCGAGUGAGUAAA